AUUGAACGCUGGCGGCAGGCCUAACACAUGCAAGUCGAGCGGAUGAAGGGGGCUUGCUCCUGGAUUCAGCGGCGGACGGGUGAGUAAUGCCUAGGAAUCUGCCUGGUAGUGGGGGAUAACGUCCGGAAACGGGCGCUAAUACCGCAUACGUCCUGAGGGAGAAAGUGGGGGAUCUUCGGACCUCACGCUAUCAGGUGAGCCUAGGUCGGAUUAGCUAGUUGGUGGGGUAAAGGCCUACCAAGGCGACGAUCCGUAACUGGUCUGAGAGGAUGAUCAGUCACACUGGAACUGAGACACGGUCCAGACGCCUACGGGAGGCAGCAGUGGGGAAUAUUGGACAAUGGGCGAAAGCCUGAUCCAGCCAUGCCGCGUGUGUGAAGAAGGUCUUCGGAUUGUAAAGCACUUUAAGUUGGGAGGAAGGGCAGUAAGUUAAUACCUUGCUGUUUUGACGUUACCAAAAGAAUAAGCACCGGCUAACUUCGUG
This 484-nucleotide ribosomal RNA is filed under the name uncultured bacterium. RNAcentral describes it as "partial 16S ribosomal RNA". It matches the Rfam family "Bacterial small subunit ribosomal RNA", at positions 30 to 507 of the family's 1533-position model. The record is from RNAcentral.